CUGAACAACCCUUUUCUGAAUACUUUGGAAUUUCAGUUGAACGAAAAGCUGUCAUCUGAUCUGACCAAAGCUACAGAGAGACUACAGGUGAUUCUUAACCAGCUACACGAGCUGGAGGCAGAGAAACUGAUCCAAACCAAUCAGAUUGCGGCACUGGAGACUGAGCGCUUGCAGCUGAUAGGAGAGAAAGAGGAACUGAGGAAAACAUUUGAUGAUGGACUUCAUGAGAAGAUGAUAGAGCUGGGAGAGAGAUGCUGCCAGCACAGGUCGGACAACUCUGUCCAUUAUCUAACUUCAGUGUUGCUUGGAAAUGAUUAUUAAUAUUGACUGUACAGAUUUUUUUGGCUCUGAUCCAGGUUAUUAAUUCCAUAUAUACAGAGAAUUGCAGGACAAUCUAGAACAAGAAAAUCAGACUCUGCAAUUAAAAUGUCAAGACCUGGAAAAAAAAGUCAAAAUCUCGGAGGCGGGGUAUAAGCAUAAAGAGGAGGAGCAACAUCAAAUGAGGGCGGAGCUUGAGCAGGAAAAGGAGGAGUUGAGGAAACUGGCUGCUCACUGGAAUGAGAGGUGGCUGGAUGUGGCGAUGACGUUAUGCUCGACACAAGCAGAACUCGAUGAGCUCAAGAGUCAACAGCGAGUGAAUGACAACCGAGAGCCUGAAGUUUCGCAACAGAUAGAGCCUGAGAGGGACCAAAGCCAAGUGCAGCAGAGACUCACGGGUAGCUCUGUGUCUCUUGAAGUCGUGGAUGGAGAGUUGGUGCAGGUGAAGGCGGAGCUGCUGAAGGUGAGGGACAUGCUGAAAAUCAGAGACACUGAGCUGGAGGAACAGCUCCAGGAGCUGCAGUCUGCUCACCAUCAGGAGUCACAACAGAGCGAUGAGGUCCAGAGGUUGGAGCAGCUUCUUGCAAAGAGAGAUCAGGAAAUUAAAGAAAAGGAUCAAGAUCUGAAGAACCUGGAGAUACAGAGGAUAACACAGAAAGCAGAGGCUCAGAUCAAGAUAUCUGCCCUGGAGCAGGAGAUUUUUGGACACAAAGGUCUGCUGUCGAGAAAGGAAGUGGUCAAUGAAUGCAGUCCUGAGUCACUGAAGGCCCUGCUAGAAGAAAGCAGAAGGCGAGCAGAAACGCUUGAGCAGGAAAGAGACCGAACUUUACAAAAACGGCAGGAUCUUGAACCUCCCCAGCAGGACAAAACAGAGAAAGAAUCUCCAUUAGAGACUAAAAAACAGAAACCCGCGGGUUCGGACCUUGUAGAUCCAAACCAACAGAGGAGGCAGGUCACCGAGCAGGUGCUGCACCGUGUCCACAGUAAAACUCCUAAACACUUCAUCAGAAAAAGUGUUAUAGUA
RNAcentral lists this long non-coding RNA (1342 nucleotides) under Sinocyclocheilus grahami. RNAcentral describes it as "lncRNA (ENSSGRG00000015259.1)". The record is from RNAcentral. Lineage: Eukaryota; Metazoa; Chordata; Actinopteri; Cypriniformes; Cyprinidae.